This 497-nucleotide ribosomal RNA is filed under the name uncultured bacterium. RNAcentral describes it as "partial 16S ribosomal RNA". It matches the Rfam family "Bacterial small subunit ribosomal RNA", at positions 28 to 507 of the family's 1533-position model. The record is from RNAcentral.
GAUGAACGCUGGCGGCGUGCCUAAUACAUGCGAGUCGAGCGAACAGACGAGGAGCUUGCUCCUCUGACGUUAGCGGCGGACGGGUGAGUAACACGUGGAUAACCUACCUAUAAGACUGGGAUAACUUCGGGAAACCGGAGCUAAUACCGGAUAAUAUAUUUAACCGCAUGGUUCAAUAGUGAAAGACGGUUUUGCUUCCACUUAUAGAGGUAUCCGCGUCGCAUUAGCUAGUUGGUAAGGUAACGGCUUACCAAGGCAACGAUGCGUGGCCGACCUGAGAGGGUGAUCGGCCACACUGGAACUGAGACACGGUCCAGACUCCUACGGGAGGCAGCAGUAGGGAAUCUUCAGCAAUGAGCGAAAGCCUGACGGAGCAACGCCGCGUGAGUGAUGAAGGUCUUCGGAUCGUAAAACUCUGUUAUUAGGGAAGAACAAAUGUGUAAGUAACUAUGCACGUAUUGACGGUACCUAAUCAGAAAGCCACGGCUAACUACGUG